This 658-nucleotide ribosomal RNA is filed under the name Kwoniella pini. Its description in RNAcentral is "LSU rRNA". It matches the Rfam family "Eukaryotic large subunit ribosomal RNA", at positions 38 to 682 of the family's 3401-position model. Lineage: Eukaryota; Fungi; Basidiomycota; Tremellomycetes; Tremellales; Cryptococcaceae. The record is from RNAcentral.
GCAUAUCAAUAAGCGGAGGAAAAGAAACUAACAAGGAUUCCCCUAGUAACGGCGAGUGAACCGGGAAGAGCUCAAAUUUGAAAUCUGGCGUCCUCAGGGCGUCCGAGUUGUAAUCUAUAGAGGCGUUUUCCGCGCCGGACCGUGUAUAAGUCUCCUGGAACGGAGUAUCAAAGAGGGUGACAAUCCCGUGCUUUACACGACGACCGGUGCUAUGUGAUACGUCUUCUACGAGUCGAGUUGUUUGGGAAUGCAGCUCAAAACGGGUGGUAAACUCCAUCUAAAGCUAAAUAUUGGUGGGAGACCGAUAGCGAACAAGUACCGUGAGGGAAAGAUGAAAAGCACUUUGGAAAGAGAGUUAAACAGUAUGUGAAAUUGUUGAAAGGGAAACGAUUGAAGUCAGUCGUGUCCAUUGGGUUCAGCCGGUCCUGCCGGUCUACUCCCUUUGGACGGGUCAACAUCAGUUCUGACCGGUGGAUAAUGGCACGAGGAACGUAGCACCCUCCGGGGUGUGUUAUAGCCUCGCGUCGCAUACACUGGUCGGGACUGAGGAACGCAGCUCGCCCUCACGGGCCGGGGUUCGCCCACGUCCGAGCUUAGGAUGUUGACAUAAUGGCUUUAAACGACCCGUCUUGAAACACGGACCAAGGAGUCUAACAUA